UCUCUGCGCAUCAGUGAGUGUAUGUAGGGGUCAGUGUCUGUGUGCUGUGAGAGUGUGCAUUGGUCAAACGUCUGUGUAUUAGUAAGUGUGUAUAUGGGUCAGUGUCUGUGUAUUAUUAAGUGUGUGUGUAAAGGUCAGUGUCUUUGAUCAUUGAGUGCGUGUAUUGGUAAGUGAUUGUGUAUCAGUGAGUGUGCAUUUGGGUCAGUGUCUGCGUAUCAGUGAGUGUGUGUAUAGGUCAGUGUCCAUAUCAGUGAGUGUGUGUGUGGUUCAGUGUCUGUGUAUUAGUAAGUGUGUAUGGGUCAUUGUCUUUAAUCAUUAAAGCGUUUAUAGGUCAGAUUUUUAGUGAGUGUGUGCAUGGGUUAGUGUCUGU
This is a non-coding RNA of Pelobates cultripes (western spadefoot toad), 370 nucleotides long. Lineage: Eukaryota; Metazoa; Chordata; Amphibia; Anura; Pelobatidae. The record is from the annotation of a GenBank genome assembly.